UGUUGAAAAUCCUCACUCGGUGAGGGAAAAAAAUUUUCAGUCACGGUGGAAAGUGAACGUGUGGGAAGGAAUAGUGAGUGACCGAGUCCUACUUUCCCAGCUACCGGAUUAUGUGAAUGGUCAACAGUACCUCGCAUUAAUCACGCAGACUCUUCCUGAAAUGCUGCACGAUGUACCACUUGCAGGUAGACCUCGGUGGUUCCAGCAGGAUGGAGCACCCCCUCACUGUGCUCGAGACGUCACCGCCUUUUUAAAUGCUCAGUUCCCUGGACGUUGGUUCGGUCGUUAUGGCCCACUUCACUGGCCUGCACGAUCCCCGGACUUGACGCCGCUAGACUUCUUCCUUUGGGGCUAUCUAAAGGACCAAGUCUACGAGACCGAGCCGGAGACCGUGGAGGAAUUGGUGGCUCG
Diachasma alloeum is the source of this 411-nucleotide long non-coding RNA. RefSeq lists it as uncharacterized. The transcript has 3 exons. The record is from RefSeq and is a predicted model, not a curated record. NCBI's taxonomy places the organism in Eukaryota, Metazoa, Arthropoda, Insecta, Hymenoptera, Braconidae.